RNAcentral lists this long non-coding RNA (596 nucleotides) under Nicotiana tabacum (common tobacco). Its description in RNAcentral is "long non-coding RNA (NTAB_LNC007263)". Lineage: Eukaryota; Viridiplantae; Streptophyta; Magnoliopsida; Solanales; Solanaceae. The record is from RNAcentral.
AACCCUAAACUGAACUUUUCCUAUAGUCAGUAUUAGGGUUUUAAACCCUAAACAGAACUCUUUUUCAUUCAGUCAGCAUUAGGGUUUUAAACCCUAAACUGAACUUUUUCCUGUAGUCCGAGUCAGCAUUAGGGUUUUAAACCCUAAACUGAACUCUUUUCCAUUCAGUCAGCAUUAGGGUUUUAAACCCUAAACUGAAAUUUUUCCAUUCAGUCAGCAUUAGGGUUUUAAACCCUAAACUGAACUCUUUCCAGCCAAUGAGUAUUAGGGUUUUAAACCAUAAACUGAACUUUCCCUUUAGUCAGCAUUAGGGGUUUAAACCCUAAACUGAACUUUUUCCAUCCAGUCAGCAUUAGGGUUUUAAACCCUAAACUGAACUCUUUUCCAUUCAGUCAAAAUUAAGGUUUUAAACCCUAAACUUAACUUUUUCCUUUAAUCAGCAUUAGGGCUUUAAACCCUAAACUGAACUUUUUCUUUUAGUCAGCAUUAAGGUUUUAAAUUCUAAACUGAACUUUUCCUUUCAGUCAGCAUUAGGGUUUUAAACCCUAAACUGAACUUUUUCCUUCCAGUCAGCAUUAGGGUUUUAAACCUUAAAC